This 109-nucleotide microRNA precursor is filed under the name Mus pahari (shrew mouse). RNAcentral describes it as "miRNA (MGP_PahariEiJ_G0007257.1)". The stretch from base 15 to 95 matches the Rfam family "mir-692 microRNA precursor family", at positions 1 to 83 of the family's 109-position model. Lineage: Eukaryota; Metazoa; Chordata; Mammalia; Rodentia; Muridae. The record is from RNAcentral.
GCUGGCAGGGCCACAACCAGUGCGGACUGAUGUGCCCCAAGCAUCUCUGGGCUAGUAUAUCUCUGAGCACAUCAUUCUCAAGCACUAUUAGGAAGCCUCUGUGGCUUCC